UACGUAGGGGGCAAGCGUUGUCCGGAAUCAUUGGGCGUAAAGAGCGCGUAGGCGGUCCGGUAAGUCCGCUCUGAAAGUCCGGGGCUCAACCCCGGGAGGCGGGCGGAUACUGUCGGGCUAGAGUCCGGAAGAGGCGAGUGGAAUUCCUGGUGUAGCGGUGAAAUGCGCAGACAUCAGGAGGAACACCAAUGGCGAAGGCAGCUCGCUGGGACGGUACUGACGCUGAGGCGCGAAAGCGUGGGGAGCAAACAGG
Molecule: ribosomal RNA, 253 nt
Filed under: uncultured bacterium
Lineage: Bacteria
Description: partial 16S ribosomal RNA
Rfam family: Bacterial small subunit ribosomal RNA
Source: RNAcentral